GUGGCGGACGGGUGAGUGAAGCAUCGGAAUGUGCCCAGUAGCGGGGGAUAACUACUCGAAAAAGUGGCUAAUACCGCAUAUUCUAUACGGAAGAAAGAGGGGGACCUUAGGGCCUCUCACUACUGGAGCAGCCGAUGUCAGAUUAGCUAGUUGGUGGGGUAAAGGCCUACCAAGGCGACGAUCUGUAGCUGGUUUGAGAGGACGAUCAGCCACACUGGGACUGAGACACGGCCCAGACUCCUACUGGGAGGCAGCAGUGGGGAUAUUUGUACAAUGGGGGGACCCUGAUCCAGCCAUCCCGACGUGUGAUGAUGAAGGCCUUUCGGUUGUAA
This 332-nucleotide ribosomal RNA is filed under the name uncultured bacterium. RNAcentral describes it as "bacterial SSU rRNA". It matches the Rfam family "Bacterial small subunit ribosomal RNA", at positions 95 to 428 of the family's 1533-position model. The record is from RNAcentral.